Molecule: non-coding RNA, 970 nt
Organism: Drosophila melanogaster (fruit fly)
Lineage: Eukaryota; Metazoa; Arthropoda; Insecta; Diptera; Drosophilidae
Source: Ensembl
GUUUGGACGCUCAAGGCAUCCGGCUCAUAUGAAUUGAGCACCUCCAGUAUCUUGACAUCGCACAGCGAGGUGGUGUUGGAUUGGUAUAGCAGCUGCAUAGUCUGGUAAGAGUUUGAUACAGGAUUCCUUCGGUACUUCUGCCGUCCUCCACGAACUCGAUCCAAGCGCACACCCUCCUGAAAAGUUAAAGCGAUUAGAGUUUAGGAACUUUAACUCGGGACUAUGAAAUUACCUUGAGCAUGCCCAUUAGUAGACAUUUCUGGAAGCGACACGCUUGGCAGGCCUUGCGUCUCCGCUUGUUAAUCUCACACUCGUUGUUCGCCGGACACGUGUACUCGAUGUUGCCUUGGAUGGUGCGUUUAAAGAACGCUUUGCAAGCCUCACAACUCGCCACACCAUAGUGGAAUCCACUGGCCACAUCGCCACAAACCAAACACAAUCGGCGGAGCUCGUCCCUGACGGAUCCCGAUCCAGCUCCGGCACUCGCAUUGGUCGCAUUUCCACCACUCGUACCACCACCUCCUCCUCCGCCAUUGCCGCCACUUGUACCACUUCCUUUCAGACUAUCGCCAUCAUUGCUUAAGGAUACAUUGUGCAAAUCGCAGGAUAGAGAGGUCGUCGAGCUGCAGAGCUGCCUUUCCGGCGAAACCGAGGGCGAGGAUUUCAGGCCGUUUGUGCCACUCUGCGUGGCCGUUGACUUGGAGCUGGGACUAAAGCAGGACGCCGAUGGAGUGUCCACCUCCUGUUUGAUGUGCAAGAUGCUGACGCCGUCGGACAUGUUCGUGCCUUGGCUGGGUGAGAAAAAAAGAGUUGCGGAUAAAAUAAGAAAUAUGUUUCAACAAGUUAAAGCCUUUGAUUUGAACUUCAAGAAAAUGAUUGAUUAGAUAGAGGACUCGAGAUACAAGGUUUAGGAUAAACGAUAUGGUACGAUAUGAGGAUCAACCCAAAAUGCGGAGAGAAAUGAACAAGU